GAUGAACGCUGGCGGCGUGCCUAAUACAUGCAAGUCGAGCGAACAGACGAGGAGCUUGCUCCUCUGACGUUAGCGGCGGACGGGUGAGUAACACGUGGAUAACCUACCUAUAAGACUGGGAUAACUUCGGGAAACCGGAGCUAAUACCGGAUAAUAUAUUGAACCGCAUGGUUCAAUAGUGAAAGACGGUUUUGCUGUCACUUAUAGAUGGAUCCGCGCCGCAUUAGCUAGUUGGUAAGGUAACGGCUUACCAAGGCGACGAUGCGUAGCCGACCUGAGAGGGUGAUCGGCCACACUGGAACUGAGACACGGUCCAGACUCCUACGGGAGGCAGCAGUAGGGAAUCUUCCGCAAUGGGCGAAAGCCUGACGGAGCAACGCCGCGUGAGUGUUGAAGGUCUUCGGAUCGUAAAACUCUGUUAUUAGGGAAGAACAAAUGUGUAAGUAACUAUGCACGUCUUGACGGUACCUAAUCAGAAAGCCACGGCUAACUACGUG
Molecule: ribosomal RNA, 497 nt
Filed under: uncultured bacterium
Lineage: Bacteria
Description: partial 16S ribosomal RNA
Rfam family: Bacterial small subunit ribosomal RNA
Source: RNAcentral